Capra hircus (goat) is the source of this 263-nucleotide long non-coding RNA. RefSeq lists it as uncharacterized. The record is from RefSeq and is a predicted model, not a curated record. Lineage: Eukaryota; Metazoa; Chordata; Mammalia; Artiodactyla; Bovidae. The transcript is spliced from 3 exons.
GCUUGUGAGGUUUCAGGGAUGGAACUCCAUUGCGCUCUCUCCUCUGCUGUGUUUUGAAAUCUCCCGUGUCCUCCUUUGGCCCCAGCCCUGAGCGGGGACCAGGAAGCUCUGCGCCUCACAGUGACCAUUUGAUGCUGGAGAUGAACACUGAUGGGCAGGUUCUUCACGGAGGUACAGCUUCCAGAACUGCAAGGAGCAAAUAUCUAUUGUUGAAGGCACCCAGUCGAUGGCAUUUUGUUCCAGCAGCCCAAGCAAACGAAGAC